AGGGUUAAGAAGUGGAGCUCCUUAAAGUCCAAUAGAGGAUCUUGCAGGGUAGAUUGAGCUGCUGAGCUAUGGAUACCACAGCCCUAUCCCAUAAUAAAAGGGAGUUCUUUUUUUCAAGUCUUCUUGGAUAGGCUUGUGGCUUGCAUAUCUCUGGAGCUUCAUUACCUUAUUAUGUUAGAUCCUUGUUUGGAUUGAAGGGAGCUCUACAUCUAAAUCUU
Molecule: microRNA precursor, 218 nt
Filed under: Manihot esculenta (cassava)
Lineage: Eukaryota; Viridiplantae; Streptophyta; Magnoliopsida; Malpighiales; Euphorbiaceae
Description: miR159b stem-loop (mes-MIR159b)
Gene: mes-MIR159b
Rfam family: MIR159 microRNA precursor family
Source: miRBase by way of RNAcentral